Long non-coding RNA from Oncorhynchus tshawytscha (Chinook salmon), 820 nucleotides. NCBI's taxonomy places the organism in Eukaryota, Metazoa, Chordata, Actinopteri, Salmoniformes, Salmonidae. The record is from Ensembl.
GUUCAGUAUUUAUUCAGAACUUACCCCCAUCUUCAAAUUGUUCUCGGAAAUAAAUGGAGGACUCAGCAAAUAGUGAUACGAUCGAUACGGCCAUCAAAACCAUCGACAGGGUUGUCAUUUCAGCUUGCUAAAAAAAACACCCUCUAAAAUAGAAAAUGUAAUUAACAAAGUAAAUAAAUACCAUACAUUUUAUAGACACUAAAUCUAGCAGUAAAACUAGCUAUGGCUAGUUACACGCUAUAUUGGUCAAAAUCCUGACCUCAAAUGCUGUACUUACUGCAAGCCCCAAACGCUGCUGAUGGUCUCUCGUUUCCGAACAGAUGUCUGGUUUUCAUUGGAUAGCAGCUCCAGGAGGAAGCGUAACAACCUUUAACCAAUCGAAUUAAUUGAAAAAAAGCAUGGGACAAAUCGUUUCAGCCAAUGCCAGCUGACCACGCGUUUGCUUCACAAACGCCCCUCAGUAGUGGAAUGGGACCUGAGCCUUAGGACCAUGUCUCAGGACUACCUGGCAUGAAGACUCCUUGCUGUCCCCAGUCCACCUGACCGUGCUGCUGCUCCAGUUUCAACUGUUCUGCCUGCGGCUAUGAAAUCCUGACCUGUUCACCGGACGUGUUACUUGUCUCAGACAUGCUGCUUUCAACUCUAUAGAGACAGGAGUGGUAGAGAUCCUCUUAAUGAUCGGCUAUGAAAAGCCAACUGACAUUUACUCCUGAGGUGCUGAAUUGCUGCACCCUCGACAACUACUGUGAUUAUUAUUAUUUGACCCUGCUGGUCAUUUAUGAACAUUUGAACAUCUUGGCCAUGUUCUGUUAUAAUCUCC